CCCUUAGAUGUCCGGGGCCGCACGCGCGCUACACUGAAGGAAUCAGCGUGGCUUUCUCCCUGACCCGAAAGGGUUGGGAAACCCGUUGAAUCUCCUUCGUGAUAGGGAUUGGGGCUUGAAAUUGUUCCCCAUGGACGAGGAAUUCCCAGUAAGCGCGAGUCAUAAGCUCGCGUUGAUUACGUCCCUGCCCUUUGUACACACCGCCCGUCGCUACUACCGAUUGAACGGUUUAGUGAGGGCCUCGGAUUGGUCUCGGCCCGCUCUUUACCGGGCGGCGCCGUUGGUCGAGAAGACGCUCGAACUUGAUCGUUUAGAGGAAGUAAAAGUCGUAACA
RNAcentral lists this ribosomal RNA (334 nucleotides) under uncultured eukaryote. RNAcentral's name for it is "partial 18S ribosomal RNA". It matches the Rfam family "Eukaryotic small subunit ribosomal RNA", at positions 1470 to 1796 of the family's 1831-position model. The record is from RNAcentral.